CCUACGGGGGGCUGCAGUGGGGAAUAUUGCACAAUGGGGGAAACCCUGAUGCAGCGACGCCGCGUGAAGGAAGAAGGUUUUCGGAUCGUAAACUUCUAUCAGCAGGUAAGAAGAAAGUGACAGUACCUGACUAAGAAGCCCCGGCUAACUACGUGCCAACAACCGCGGUAAUACGUAGGGGGCAAGGGUUAUCCGGAAGCACUGGGUGGAAAGGGUGCGUAGGCGGGAGGGCAAGUCAGAUGUGAAAGCCCGGGGCUCAACCCCGGGAUUGCAUUUGGAACUGUCUUACUAGAGUGCAGGAGAGGAAAGCGGAAUUCCUAGUGUAGCGGUGAAGUGCGUAGAUAUUAGGAAGAACCCCAGUGGCGAAGGCGGCUUUCUGGACUGUAACUGACGCUGAGGCACGAAAGCGUGGGGAGCGAACAGGAUUAGGUACCCCGGUAGUC
This 443-nucleotide ribosomal RNA is filed under the name uncultured bacterium. RNAcentral describes it as "bacterial SSU rRNA". It matches the Rfam family "Bacterial small subunit ribosomal RNA", at positions 338 to 795 of the family's 1533-position model. The record is from RNAcentral.